GAUGAACGCUGGCGGCGUGCUUAACACAUGCAGGUCGAACGGAAAGGCCCAAGCUUGCUUGGGUACUCGAGUGGCGAACGGGUGAGUAACACGUGGGUGAUCUGCCCUGCACUUCGGGAUAAGCCUGGGAAACUGGGUCUAAUACCGGAUAGGACCACAUUUUGGAUGGUGUGGUGGAAAGUUUUUCGGUGUGGGAUGAGCUCGCGGCCUAUCAGCUUGUUGGUGGGGUAAUGGCCUACCAAGGCGUCGACGGGUAGCCGGCCUGAGAGGGUGUACGGCCACAUUGGGACUGAGAUACGGCCCAGACUCCUACGGGAGGCAGCAGUGGGGAAUAUUGCACAAUGGGCGCAAGCCUGAUGCAGCGACGCCGCGUGGGGGAUGACGGCCUUCGGGUUGUAAACUCCUUUCGCUAGGGACGAAGCGCAAGUGACGGUACCUGGAGAAGAAGCACCGGCUAACUACGUG
Molecule: ribosomal RNA, 465 nt
Filed under: uncultured bacterium
Lineage: Bacteria
Description: partial 16S ribosomal RNA
Rfam family: Bacterial small subunit ribosomal RNA
Source: RNAcentral